This is a transfer RNA of Volvox carteri f. nagariensis, 99 nucleotides long. It matches the Rfam family "tRNA". From Rfam's summary of the family: Transfer RNA (tRNA) molecules are approximately 80 nucleotides in length. Their secondary structure includes four short double-helical elements and three loops (D, anti-codon, and T loops). The record is from Rfam. Lineage: Eukaryota; Viridiplantae; Chlorophyta; Chlorophyceae; Chlamydomonadales; Volvocaceae.
GUGGGUGUGGCGCAGUGGUUAGCGCGUAGGUCUCAUAGCUGUUAUCGUGCUGUGACUUGGAAUAUCCUAAGGUUGAGGGUUCGACACCCUCCACCCACA